CUUGACAUCCAGCGAACUUUCCAGAGAUGGAUUGGUGCCUUCGGGAACGCUGAGACAGGUGCUGCAUGGCUGUCGUCAGCUCGUGUUGUGAAAUGUUGGGUUAAGUCCCGCAACGAGCGCAACCCUUAUCCUUUGUUGCCAGCGAUUCGGUCGGGAACUCAAAGGAGACUGCCGGUGAUAAACCGGAGGAAGGUGGGGAUGACGUCAAGUCAUCAUGGCCCUUACGAGUAGGGCUACACACGUGCUACAAUGGCGCAUACAAAGAGGAGCGACCUCGCGAGAGCAAGCGGACCUCAUAAAGUGCGUCGUAGUCCGGAUCGGAGUCUGCAACUCGACUCCGUGAAGUCGGAAUCGCUAGUAAUCGUGGAUCAGAAUGCCACGGUGAAUACGUUCCCGGGCCUUGUACACACCGCCCGUCACACCAUGGGAGUGGGUUGCAAAAGAAGUAGGUAGCUUAACCCUCGGGAGGGCGCUUACCACUUUGUGAUUCAUGACUGGGGUGAAGUCGUAACAAGGUAGGCGUAGCGAG
This 529-nucleotide ribosomal RNA is filed under the name uncultured bacterium. RNAcentral describes it as "bacterial SSU rRNA". It matches the Rfam family "Bacterial small subunit ribosomal RNA", at positions 980 to 1509 of the family's 1533-position model. The record is from RNAcentral.